GAUGAACGCUGGCGGCGUGCCUAACACAUGCAAGUCGAACGGAGGUAUUGAUUGGAAGCUUUUCGGAGUGAAAGAGAAAUAUCUUAGUGGCGGACGGGUGAGUAACGCGUGGGCAACCUGCCUCAUACAGGGGGAUAGCAUCGGGAAACUGGUGGUAAAACCGCAUAAGCGCACGAAGACGCAUGUCAAUGUGUGAAAAGGAGAAAUCUGGUAUGAGAUGGACCCGCGUCUGAUUAGCUAGUUGGAGUGGUAAAAGCACACCAAGGCGACGAUCAGUAGCCGGCCUGAGAGGGUGGACGGCCACAUUGGGACUGAGACACGGCCCAG
This 327-nucleotide ribosomal RNA is filed under the name uncultured bacterium. RNAcentral's name for it is "bacterial SSU rRNA". It matches the Rfam family "Bacterial small subunit ribosomal RNA", at positions 28 to 334 of the family's 1533-position model. The record is from RNAcentral.